RNAcentral lists this ribosomal RNA (1420 nucleotides) under Salmonella enterica. RNAcentral's name for it is "partial 23S ribosomal RNA". It matches the Rfam family "Bacterial large subunit ribosomal RNA", at positions 1292 to 2695 of the family's 2925-position model. Lineage: Bacteria; Pseudomonadati; Pseudomonadota; Gammaproteobacteria; Enterobacterales; Enterobacteriaceae. The record is from RNAcentral.
GAAUGCUGACAUAAGUAACGAUAAAGCGGGUGAAAAGCCCGCUCGCCGGAAGACCAAGGGUUCCUGUCCAACGUUAAUCGGGGCAGGGUGAGUCGACCCCUAAGGCGAGGCCGAAAGGCGUAGUCGAUGGGAAACGGGUUAAUAUUCCCGUACUUGGUGUUACUGCGAAGGGGGGACGGAGAAGGCUAUGUUGGCCGGGCGACGGUUGUCCCGGUUUAAGCGUGUAGGUGUGUGUUCCAGGUAAAUCCGGUUCACUUUAACACUGAGGCGUGACGACGAGGCACUACGGUGCUGAAGCAACAAAUGCCCUGCUUCCAGGAAAAGCCUCUAAGCAUCAGGUAACAUCAAAUCGUACCCCAAACCGACACAGGUGGUCAGGUAGAGAAUACCAAGGCGCUUGAGAGAACUCGGGUGAAGGAACUAGGCAAAAUGGUGCCGUAACUUCGGGAGAAGGCACGCUGACACGUAGGUGAAGUGAUUUACUCAUGGAGCUGAAGUCAGUCGAAGAUACCAGCUGGCUGCAACUGUUUAUUAAAAACACAGCACUGUGCAAACACGAAAGUGGACGUAUACGGUGUGACGCCUGCCCGGUGCCGGAAGGUUAAUUGAUGGGGUCAGCGCAAGCGAAGCUCCUGAUCGAAGCCCCGGUAAACGGCGGCCGUAACUAUAACGGUCCUAAGGUAGCGAAAUUCCUUGUCGGGUAAGUUCCGACCUGCACGAAUGGCGUAAUGAUGGCCAGGCUGUCUCCACCCGAGACUCAGUGAAAUUGAACUCGCUGUGAAGAUGCAGUGUACCCGCGGCAAGACGGAAAGACCCCGUGAACCUUUACUAUAGCUUGACACUGAACAUUGAGCCUUGAUGUGUAGGAUAGGUGGGAGGCUUUGAAGUGUGGACGCCAGUCUGCAUGGAGCCGACCUUGAAAUACCACCCUUUAAUGUUUGAUGUUCUAACGUGGACCCGUUACCCGGGUUGCGGACAGUGUCUGGUGGGUAGUUUGACUGGGGCGGUCUCCUCCUAAAGAGUAACGGAGGAGCACGAAGGUUGGCUAAUCCUGGUCGGACAUCAGGAGGUUAGUGCAAUGGCAUAAGCCAGCUUGACUGCGAGCGUGACGGCGCGAGCAGGUGCGAAAGCAGGUCAUAGUGAUCCGGUGGUUCUGAAUGGAAGGGCCAUCGCUCAACGGAUAAAAGGUACUCCGGGGAUAACAGGCUGAUACCGCCCAAGAGUUCAUAUCGACGGCGGUGUUUGGCACCUCGAUGUCGGCUCAUCACAUCCUGGGGCUGAAGUAGGUCCCAAGGGUAUGGCUGUUCGCCAUUUAAAGUGGUACGCGAGCUGGGUUUAGAACGUCGUGAGACAGUUCGGUCCCUAUCUGCCGUGGGCGCUGGAGAACUGAGGGGGGCUGCUCCUAGUACGAGAGGACCGG